RNAcentral lists this unclassified non-coding RNA (260 nucleotides) under fungal sp. RNAcentral describes it as "partial internal transcribed spacer region". The stretch from base 1 to 46 matches the Rfam family "Eukaryotic small subunit ribosomal RNA", at positions 1786 to 1831 of the family's 1831-position model. Lineage: Eukaryota; Fungi. The record is from RNAcentral.
AAGUCGUAACAAGGUUUCCGUAGGUGAACCUGCGGAAGGAUCAUUACUGAAUUUAAUGCCUUGGUUGUAGCUGGCCUUUACAGGCAUGUGCACACCUUGGACAUCCAAUUCUUAUACCUCUGUGCACUUUACAUAGAAUGGUGGAGGCCACUUCGGUGGUUUGAAGCUAUUCUAUGCCAACAUUAAACCAUUUAGUAUAGAAUGUUUAUCGCGUUUGACGCAAUUAUAUACAACUUUCAGCAACGGAUCUCUUGGCUCUC